This 1820-nucleotide long non-coding RNA is filed under the name Nicotiana benthamiana. Its description in RNAcentral is "long non-coding RNA (NBEN_LNC031617)". Lineage: Eukaryota; Viridiplantae; Streptophyta; Magnoliopsida; Solanales; Solanaceae. The record is from RNAcentral.
CGCAUGUCCUAUACAUGAUAUCUAUUGCCCAAAUAGGUAAAUAAAUUCAUAUAAGCAUGUUUUCUACCCAUUACUUAAACUAAACAUGCAUAACCCCCUCCUAUAUUCACUAUUCAACCCCAAUCAUUUGUUAAAAAAUUAUUACAAACCAAGGAUAGCCGAAUUACAGUAAUAAAGAAUUAAAAAAGAAAUUAUUCUAUAGGGAGCCUUUAGUCAGGCCUAAUCUUCCAACCUCACUCCUUUCAAGUUUCACAGCCUUUGCCAUGGUCUGGGUGCGACAAUGCUCCCUAAAUCCCCCUUCGGUCCCUAGCCAAUAUCAGUAUUCAAACACUUACCAAACAUGUUGAAUAAGUGCAGUCUGGAAUUACCAGUCUUGCGCAUCAAAGUUCAGUGAGUACUCAGAGGUACCCAAAGAAAUGCUUACACGAAGAGGGUAGAACCUAAUCUAUAAGAGUAGUGAAAGUGUGUGAUAUUGUUUUAAAGAAUUUGAGUUGAUAUAAACAGUUUGAAAAUGAUCCAUAUAGAAUCAGUUCUUGAAAGAAAACAGUAGAAGAGUGUGACAGUUUUGUAAGAAGGUGAGUAGGACAAUCUCAAAACUAGAAUAUCACACAUAGUUCAGGAAAGCAAACACAAACAGGGGAACGGGGAAAUUGGACAAGUAGUUCACAUGUAAGAGGUGAGUAAGACAAUCUCAGAACUACAAUAUCACACAUAGCUCAGCGAAGAAAACACAAACAGAGGAAAGGGGAAAUGGGACAAGUAGUUUACAUGUAAGAGCAUAGUUGCACAUACAUAGACAUCAGAGAAGGCAUUUCAGGACUUAAACAGUCAUAACACAUUUCAUCCAAAAAUAUUCAUGGAAGAGGUUCAGGAUUACUUGGUAGCUAGAAAGGGUCAUGAAUACAUGCUGAUAAUGUACUGGGGUUAGGGAGUAAGAAAGAACUAUAUUAAACAAGUAAGAGAAGUAGUAGGCAUGCUGAAUUAAGGGAAAGGUAAUCACAUCAAUGAACUAACAAAGUAAGGAUGAACUGCAUUAAACAAGUAAGAGAAGCAGUAGACAUGCUAAAUUAAGGGAAGGGUAAUCACAUCAAUGAACUAGCAAAGAGGCACACUAAUUGCAAUGUAAACAAAAAAACCAAAAGUAUAAGCAUAAAAGAAAUAAGAGAAAGUGCAAUAUGCAUAAAAACAUGUUGUUUGGAGGUUGCAAAUCAAAUAGAAGACAUACCAGUCAAGAGUAAGAUAAUAGAGCGGUAGUGUGCAGUGAAGUAAAGCAGUAAUGUGUAGACCAAGAGGGAAGCAAUGUAUAGAGCGAUAAAAUAGUAGAGUAACAAAUAAUUCAGUCUUGGCUUUUAGCCAACUGGGUAACAAGUAGUCAAGAAGAGAAGAGAGAGAAAAUGUGCAGGAAAGUAAGAGAGAACAGUGGGUCUGCUUGUGUGUGUGUAAGAGAGAGUUCAGAACAUUGUAAUUGUUCAUCUCAUGCAAAAGAGAGGGUAGACUAUUUAUACUUUUGAAAACUAGUAGAGAAUAGGGUAACAAGUACUAACAUGACACAAUUAUAAAAACAAUACCAAUUGGAAUCAAUUACAGGACCAAACUCGUUUUAAUUAGGGAGUCAUGAUUCAAAUGGGUACAAGUUAUAUCAGAUAAAGCAAAGAAUCACUUAGACUACUGAAUCAACCAUAAUAGGAGUCGCAUAGCAUGUAGCAUUUUCUAUAAGGGCCAAAUACAUAACAUUUCAAAUAAGGAAAAUAUAUACUGGAUAUUUAAAAGUAUGUUUAUGCGCAUAAAUAUGUUAAAAAUAUAAAUUAACUCUGAAAAUU